GGAGAGAGAAGGAGAGAAGCCACUGCCCGUCCGUCUGUCCGUCUGAUUGGCAGGAGCUAGGCUGUGCCCCCGUCCUGAGGUCCAAUGCAAGCUCCGCAGCCCCCCGUAGGCAGCUGCCCCUGGUUUUUGUCUUAAGCCAGGAGCAAGGGGCUUCUCUUAUUUGCAACAAAAACCAAAGCGAACCCCUGUGAGUGCUAAAGGCACCUGAGACACUUGGCUUGGCCUGUGUGGCAGGCCGAGGGUCCCAGGGAAUCUGUCGGAGCCCAGCCACCUUCCCCGGAGGCCAGGGAAAUCCUGCCCCAGGCCCAGUGGCCACAGAGACAAGCCUGCAGGCCCAGGCAUGGGCGGUGCAGAAGCUCCUCGGUGGCCAUCUCCUGCGCCUACCCGGACCUUCACAGCCUGCCCAGCUGCACCCCUCGCCCAGGCCUCCUCUCCCUGAGGCCCGGCUUCUGGCAAGUUCCACACUCAAUCCAGGGACGUGUGGGACAGGUCACACCCUCCCAGUAGGCAAGGAGCGGCUGCUCCGGCCAGCCUGUGAGGAGGGAGAGCAGAGGGAAGCGGCCAUCGCGGCUCCCAGCACUGCGCCCAGUGCCGCCUGCUCAACACCAGUCUCCCCGGCCACCCCCACUGCUCCCUGUCCACCGAGGCAGUGCUGCCACCACAGACGACCAGUCCAGGACAGUUCCUGAGCUGAAACCCACGAGAAAAAAAUCAGAGAGUUUGGAGCCUCCUCAGUACCCACCACGGGUGGUGGUGUGGGGCACUUUACCAGAGCAAAGAGCAAGGCGGCCAGGACUGAGGAUGUGCCCAGGGCUCCGAAGCCAACCAGAGACCCCAGGGCCCAGAGAACUUGAGCUUCCACAGGGCCACAGGGCCGGGACGGAGGCCCAUCUGGAGUGCAGAGGAGUUUUUAAAAAAUGAGUUAUUUGCCUGAGAGGCUGGGAGGGGCCGGGACACUGUCCUGAAAAUGGUAAAUAAAGGGCAGGACUGUGUGUCUUUCUGCCCUUCCCGUGCCCA
Molecule: long non-coding RNA, 1017 nt
Organism: Ictidomys tridecemlineatus (thirteen-lined ground squirrel)
Lineage: Eukaryota; Metazoa; Chordata; Mammalia; Rodentia; Sciuridae
Source: RefSeq, a predicted model, not a curated record